AGUGCUCCGGAAUGAGUCUCACGCUGCAUCGCGGAAGCCCCGCUCCGGUUUUUCACUGGAUAAACAGCAUUUCUCACCCAGCGUCACCUGCUAUCAAGGCUGCUCGCCCCACCUGCUCACCAACAUGCACCACCGUGCAGACCCAGAAAGGCGCCGCCGGUGCUCAGACCCAGGCGACGACGACGAGGACCGCACCGAUAAUAUCAGCCUCCCCUUAAGACUUGCAUCCCAGGAAAGCAGACAUCUUGUCCCUGGAGUUCACCUUUGCAUGUCCAGGACCCACCAUAAUUGGCAGGUGCGUCUGAGAUCAUCUCAUUUCUCCAGUCUCCGGAGCGCCUGCCACAGUCUUUUAACCACGGCACAGGUGUCGGGGGAAGAUGACAACUCCAGGUGCCCUCUGACGUGGAUGUCCUGGAGAAGCCAGCAGAGCCUGCGGUUUGUCGUGUGUACAUGGUGAACAGGAGGCCCAGACUGCAUCCCAGUGCUUUAUGAUGUCCACCAGCGAACAGACAGUUAGAAGGCAGGGCCAGAUCUCCUUGGCUCUCAGAUCUUGGGUGCAUAAGCUUCCUUCUGGCCUCGGUUUCCUGUUCACCUCAGCAAGAGACUUGGGCAGGCAGAUUUCAAAAGUCCUUUCUCCCCACUCUGAACUUUGGAAACAAAAUUUUGAUGAAGCGACAUUUUGAUAAAAGAAUAUGUACAAAUCCUCCCCUGUCACCGAUACUGACAAUACCAGUUCCUGCUUUAGGACCCCAGCUGCCUUCCAGGUACUUUACUGCUACCUUGUUCUUAGCCCCCAUGGUGGCCACAGGGAAAGGCAGUCCCUGCUUAGUGGUUAGGGGUCCUGAGGCUCUGGCCAGGUUAGUCUGCUUCCUCCAAGUCAUACUGCUAUUAAAUGGCACUGCGAGGAUGUCAUUCCAGCCCUGUCCCUGCUUCUGUGUCACACUGUUUCAUUAAAUUCCUCCUGAGUCAACUCUCAAAUGAGCAGCAGCCAGAUAAGAACCACACCCAGAAACCCCCAUCACCUCCCUCAGGACCAACACCUCAUUGAGGAUGCUGACUGCUCAGCUCGGCCCACAGGCCUUUGGUCACGGUGGUCAGUGGCUCCAUCUUUGUGACAUUCUCUCUUUAUCUCCCCAGGCCAGUACCUCUUCUCAUACCUGCUCCUCUCAGUCACCCUCCAUGCCUCUUAGGGUUGUAAACACCCUUCCAGUGGCUGAAAAUCAAGACACAACCUCUUAGUAUGACCUUGAGUAGCUCGUUGACCUUCAUGGAAGAUGGAAUGACAGAGGAAUAAUGGCCCCGUCCUACUCCUCUGUAGGUUGUAUUUGGGGCCUAAACAAGCCACAGGUGUGUUGUCUUCUGCAGCCUCUACCAUGCAAUGUAAAUGUCAAGUUCAUCACUAUUCCAAACUCCUUUCAAGGAAUGAUGACUUUUCCCCACUGCCACCCCAAUCCAUGGAAAAGCUAACAACGUUGCCAGCACCUGUCCAACCCAGAGGGAGGGUAGCAUUGAGGCUGAGCUCCAGGCUGGCCAUGGGGUCAAAACUGGCCUCCACAUGUCAGCUUGGUUGACAUAGGAAAGCUACUUUCCUAAUCUGUAAAAUGGCGUAAUCAUGGUACCAUCUCAGAGGACUGUAAAGGGGUAAGUGAAUCCAUACCGCAGGUUCAGACCAGUGCCUUGCACACAGUAAAUGCCAGGCCUCAUGACCAGCCUUCCCUGGGACCCCAUGUCAGCCCAGACCCUGCCCCACCUCUGGGUCGCGCUCUUCCCAACCCUUUCCAGUUUGCCGCUCCACCCCAGGCACUCUGCAUGCUCCUGGGGCAGCCUCAUUCACUCAGGAAGAUGUCAGUAAGUUGGAUGUGGGGUAACAUCUAAAGUGUCUCUACCAACCUGGCCUUUGUCCAAGCCCAGCCCUGCCUCAUGGACUCAUCGACCUUGAUGGGGGCCUGACCCCAGAUGCUUCCUGGUCUUCUCCUCACAAUCUGCAAUCCUGGUGGUACAGGGGUUUGAACCUGGGGCCACCCUACCAUUGAGCUUCAUCCCCAGCCUUUUAUAUUUUGUGACAGGGUCUCACCAAGUUAUUAAGGCUGGCCUUGAAUUUGUGAUCCUCGAACCUCAGCCUCCUAAGUCUCUGGAGUUUCAGGCAUGCACCACCAAGCCCAGCCUCCAGUGCACAUUUCUUGACUCAUCUGCCUGGCAAAUUAAGCCCCUCCCUGUGUUUGGGGAAACUCCCUCCCUUACUCUUGCAAGUCUGGGUAUGAUGCAAAACUGGCACCCCUGCACAGAGAUGAAGGCCGGUCACUGACCACGCCUCCUUCCUCCUGGCCUGGGCCCCAAUGACUUGUCGUCGUUAAUAGCAACCUAAAACCACUCAUAAGACUUCAUCUGCCCUGGUUUGAUCUUCCAUACCCAGAAGAACCUGACAUCUGUGCAAUUAGCAAGUGAAGGAGGUAGAAAUGAUUUUAAUCAAUGUGUUGAACCAUGAGCACAGCCUGCCCGCAACCCAUCAACAUCUAAACCUUGCGCAGAGGAGAAAGCGCCACCAGGAUGCUGGCAUCUUCCAGAAAGAAGUGACUGUAAAUGAGAUGACCCCAGGUAAAGCACCCGGCACAGAGCCUGCCCGGAGCAGGAGAGGCAGGCCAGGGAGCUUCUCAGAGCCACUGUGUCCCACAUGCAAGAUUCGGCCCGCGACUGAUCCUGAGAGCCAUAGACCUGGGUGGUGGGAACACUUGCUGCCCUGCCUCUCCUGAUGGCAGGCAUCUGGGAUGUCCACACUCAGCAGCCCCCUCAGGCUCCCGGACCUGAGGAGUUCCACUCAUUCUGGGCCACCACUGGGGUGUGGAUGUGGUUUGUGUGUGUCCCCCAGUGGUUUGGUUCCCAGUGUGGUAACGUUGAGAUGUAGAAGCUUUCGGGCUCAGGGCCUGGUGGAGGUCAUGGGGGAAGCUGCCUCUGAAGGGGUUAAGGCCGUUCUGUCUCUCUAUGACUCUGAAGCUCUAGGGACCUCAUACAACUGAAAUCACCCAGGGAUCCUUUUGCAACUCAAAGUUUGUCCAUACUGUAGCAUCGUCAGAAUGCCCUUCCUUUUAAAGCCUGACUAAUAUUCCAUUGUAUGGAUGUUUUCUCACAUUGUUUAUCUGUUCCUCUGUCCAGGCACUUGGGCUGCUUCCACUUUUUGGUUAUUGGGAAUAAAGCUCCUAUGCUUCAUUUUU
This is a long non-coding RNA of Sciurus carolinensis (gray squirrel), 3209 nucleotides long. RefSeq lists it as uncharacterized. The record is from RefSeq and is a predicted model, not a curated record. Lineage: Eukaryota; Metazoa; Chordata; Mammalia; Rodentia; Sciuridae. The transcript is spliced from 4 exons.